RNAcentral lists this ribosomal RNA (253 nucleotides) under uncultured bacterium. RNAcentral describes it as "partial 16S ribosomal RNA". It matches the Rfam family "Bacterial small subunit ribosomal RNA", at positions 524 to 776 of the family's 1533-position model. The record is from RNAcentral.
UACGUAGGGUGCAAGCGUUAAUCGGAAUACUGGGCGUAAAGCGUGCGCAGGCGGUGAUGUAAGACAGGUGUGAAAUCCCCGGGCUCAACCUGGGAACUGCAUUUGUGACUGCAUAGCUAGAGUACGGUAGAGGGGGAUGGAAUUCCGCGUGUAGCAGUGAAAAUGCGUAGAUAUGCGGAGGAACACCGAUGGCGAAGGCAAUCCCCUGGACCUGUACUGACGCUCAUGCACGAAAGCGUGGGGAGCAAACAGG